AUAAUAAUUAGUUUUUUGAUUGGAAACUAGAAUGAAAGAUUGGAUAAGAAAUAAGCUUUUUUUUUUUAAUUUUAUUGAAUUUAAAUUUUUAGUUAAAAAGCUAAAAUAAUUUAAAAAGACGAGAAGACCCUAUAGAUUUUUAUUUAAUUUAAUAAAUUUAUUUUCUUAAAUUAAAUUUUAUUGGGGGGAUAAAAAAAUUUAAAAAACUUUUUAAUAUUUAGACAUUAAUAUAUGAAUUUGAAAGAAAAUUUUAAACUAUAAAUCAAAAUUAUUUUAUAAAUAAAGAUUAAAAUACCUUAGGGAUAACAGCGUAAUUUUAAUUUUAAGAUCAUAUUUAAAUUAAAGAUUGC
Molecule: ribosomal RNA, 350 nt
Filed under: Gracilipsodes psocopterus
Lineage: Eukaryota; Metazoa; Arthropoda; Insecta; Trichoptera; Leptoceridae
Description: partial 16S ribosomal RNA
Source: RNAcentral